Mus musculus (house mouse) is the source of this 6970-nucleotide long non-coding RNA. RefSeq annotates it as predicted gene, 41857. The transcript has 2 exons. The record is from RefSeq and is marked validated. Lineage: Eukaryota; Metazoa; Chordata; Mammalia; Rodentia; Muridae.
GGAACAUGCCCGAGGCACAGAACGGGCUACCUAGCGGCUGCAUCCUAGGCUGAGUAUCUCGGGAAGAAAGGCUUACCUGGAGUCAAUGUUAGCCUUGUGUGGGAUGAGCAAGGGGGCCACCGGCCUGAUACGAAGCACUUCUCGGAUAGUGGCCUCCAGCAUGAGGAGGAUGAGACUGGCACUGCACAAGAAGAUGCGGCUGUCUCUGGAGCAGGGAGGAGCAGAGCUAGGACACAACGUUACCCAUAAGCAUGAACCACUUCCAACGCUUUCCCCACUCCAGGCAGACACUGGAGCCAUUAAGCAAUAACUCCCCAACCUUCCCCUCCAGAUCUGGAUGCUUCUAAACUACUUUCUGUCUAUGAUGAACCUGCUACUUGUCCUCAUUUUAGUUCAGUUGCUACUGCUGUCAGAAAGGCCGUGACCAAAGGCAACUUGAAGAGGAACGGAGUUAUUUGGUGCACACAUUUCAGGUCACGGUCACGGUCACGGUCACGGUCAGAGAAGCCAAGGCAGCAACCUGGAGGCAGCGACUGAAGCAGAGAUCAUGGAGCAGGGAUGCUUGCCGGCUUGCUCCUUUUGCCUUCCUACAUAACCCAUACCACUUAUCCAUGGGUGGUACACCUGAGUGAGCUGUGCCCUCCCACGAAAUGAUUAAUCAAGAAAAUGUUGCUACACACUUGCCUCCUGGCCAAUCUGAUGAGGCAAUUUCUUAGCUGGGGUUCCUUGUUUUCCAGAUAUGUCCAUGUUUGUGUCAAGUUGGCAAGAACCAACAAGCACAAUUGACCUCUUGACAACUUGACACACAAACAAACACAUCACUAUGUAAACAUAUUUUUUCCUUUCUUGCUCAUCCCCAAGAUCUCAUCACAAUAUCACCAAUUAAUAUAAAGCUGAUAUAACUUUAAAAGUUCCACAGUCUUUGAAAAAUUGACAUUAAAAUUCCACAGUGUCAGCUCAGGCUUGGUGGCACACAUCUUUAAUCCCAGCACUCAGGAGGUGGAGACCAGUGGAUUGCUAUGAGUUUCAAGCCAGCUUGGUUUGCACAGUGAGAGUUCUGGGGCAACCAAGGUUACACAAUGAGACUGUCUCAAAGGAGAAAAAAGAAAAAAAAAACCGAACUUUCUUUAAAUGUUUCUUUAAAAGACAAAUUCUCAUAAGUGUGAAAUCUGUAAAAUCAGACAUAAGUUAUAUACUUUCUUCUUACUCCAAGAGAGAAGAAACAGGGCAGUCAUAAUGAAAUCAAAUCAAACUCCAAGUCCAGAAGCGUAAAUACGUCUGACACCUGGCACUCACCAUAUUUUGGGCUCCAGGGAGUUCCAUUUCUCCAGCUCUGCCAUUUACAGCACACACAUCUCCUGUCUUACACUCAGGCCAGCUCCAUUCAACAGCUGCUGUUGUGCUUGGUGGUCAUGCCACGGUACUGGUAUCUCCACUAUGCUGGGGUCUCCACUGGAGCCGAGGCAGCACCAUCGCCAGCAGCCUCUUCCAGCCCUUCUUUAGGGCUGCUGCAUAGUGCCAAACCUUAGCUGUUCUCCCCAACUCCUCCAUGGCUUCAAAACCAGUACCAGCUAGGGAUCUUUUGCAUAUUAUCAAGUCUGGCUGUUGGCAACUUUGGCCUCUCUGGACCACAGCUUCUCUGUGCUGAACCUGAUGAGAUACUCCCAGAAGAUUUCACCUCAACAAUGCUGAUCUCUUUUUAAUUACAGCAAAGGUUUCACUUCAGUGAAACUACUCUCUCUCUCACUCUCUCUCUCUCUCUAAAAAGUUUGGGGUUUUAAAAAGAUGCAUUUAUUUUUAUUUUAUUAAUCUGAGUGUUUUACAGCAUAAGUGUAAGCACAGAAGGUAUGUAUUGCACUUCUGCCCACAGAAACCAGAAUAGAGUGUCAGACCCCAUGGACCUGGACUUACAGAUGGCUGUAAAUUGCUAUGUGGGUUCUGAGAAUUGAACCUAGUUCUCUGUUAGAACAGAGAGCAUUUUUAACUUUGGAGCCAUCUCUCCAACCCCAAGGAUCUCCUGUUAAUCCCAACUGAUUCUUUAGCUCCAGUUGACCAGACAUCACAUAUUCUUAAUUCAGAAUACCACACAAAUGGGUCCCCUAGAGUCUUUACUUCCAUCUGAAACUUCACAAGCCAGGCCUUCACCAACUGCAUUGCUCUCCUGCUGAACAGAACAUUGAAUUCUAAGCACUUACUAUCUUCUCUAGCCCAAUGUUCAACACUGUCACAAUCCUCCCAAAAGUACAGGGUCAAGACUGGGAAAUUCAUACCCCACUCCUAGUAACCAAUCUUGUCUUCGUUUGGCUUUUACCGUUGUGAUAAAGACCAUGACCAAAAUAAACUUGUGAAGGAAAGGCUUUAUCCAGUGUACAGAUCCCAGGUCACAGUCCACUGAGGGAAGCCAGGAUAAGAACCCGGAGAUAGGAAGUGAAGCAGAGGCUUAGAAGAGUGUUGCUUACUAUCUUACUCUUCAUGACUUACUCAACUUACUCUUGUUCGUUUUGUUUGUUUGUUUGUUUGUUUGUUUUUCAAAAGAGGAUUUCCCUGUGUAGCUUUGGCUGUCCUGGUACUCAUUUUGUAGACUAGGCUGGCCUCGAACUCAGAGAUGCACCUGUCUCUGCCUCUAGAGUGAUGGGAUUAAAGAUGUGUUUACGUUUGGCCACAGUAUUCUGCAUUUCUAUAGAAAAUGUUCAAUAACUUACUUUUCAAAACACAUGCUGUUUUUUUUUUCUUUAUAUAUGCCCUUUGAAGCAAUUACUCCAAUUCCGGGGACUUUUCUUGCAGAAGUCACAUAGUGUAAGUGCAACAUCAGUUAUAUAAUCUGUGUCUGCCCUUCGUCAGUGUAGUGGCUAUUCCUGGUUGUCAACUUGACUAUAUUUGGAAUGAACUGCAACUCAGAAUUGGAAGGCUCACCAGUGACCCUUAUCCUGGAGGCUAGGAGAUAGAAGUUUCUGAUCUGGAUCUUGGUAUGGAGAUCUUGAGGCAUAGUGGCUAUGGAUUCCAGAAGAUUAAGACAGGGAGAUCUUUGAGUUCAAGGUCAUCUGGGAUUAAAGGUGUGGUGGAACACACCUUUAAUCUGGGCUACACCUUCUGCUGGAGACCAUAUAAGGACAUUGGAAGAAGGGAGUCUUGCUCUUGCUCCUUCGCCUGCUUGCCGUGUGCACUGAGUAACUGCUAGAUCCUUGGACUUCCAUUCACAGCUACUACUGAACCAUUGUUGGGAAUUGGACUGCAGACUGUAAGUCAUCAAUAAAUUCCUUUACUAUAUAGAGACUAUCCAUAUUCUGUGACUGUAGAGAACCCUGAUUAAUACAAUCAGCAAUACACUUCCCACUCGAAGGAGCUGGAGUCUAGUGCAGCCAGAAUCAGUAGAAAGAAAUACUGUAUAUGCUUAUCUGAAAAUAUUUCCAACACACACACACACACACACACACCAUAAAAAUUGAGCCCUCCCCCAUCCCCUUGAGCCUACUUCUUCCCAUCUCUCCCUUUGUCAUAAUGUCUCUUUUGUCACUUUUCUCCCACACCUCCUUUGUCACUUUUCUCCGACAACUCCUACUUACUCUCUCUGCUUUCCUCCCCUCAGUUGGUAGAAAUACUCAAAAGCCCCUCCUCCCCAUUUGUGUUAAAUUGACUUGGACAAAUUAUAAGUCAAACAAUAUUUUCUAAGGAUAACAAUUGUGGACUUCAAACGCUUAACAUUAAGUUAGUUCCUUUAAAGGCAUUAGUUGUAUUCUGCAUCGGCGGUAUGAGAAAAGAAUCCAUCUAGAAACACGACCAGCUGAAAAUUUGAAAACCUGUUAGCCCAGUGUCCUCAUUGUGUAAAAACAAACAAACAAACAAACAAAAGUAGACUCAAAGAUUAAGCACUUUGCACAAACUCACUAUCAAUAAAGCUAGAAAUUGAAGGCAUUUUUUUUCUACUUUACUGGGUUCUUUCAUCUACCACCCUUCUCUAUCCCAGUCCCUUCUAAACCACAACAGUAGGUGGGAAAAGAAAGGCUAGAGGGGAAAGGGCAUAGACCUCUUUAGACUACUUCCUGCUGAUUAGGGGCACCGAGUUCCUUGGGGACAGUCUGAUCUUUGAUGUCAAGAUAUCCAGUUUCUUCGUCUGGUCUCCUUGCUCAUGAUCACUUGACAAGCCAUAGCAGUGGCUUUGGUCUUUCUUGGGGCUCUGGCAUUUAUACACCUUCUGAAGCAUCCCCAGGGAGCCAAACAUAAACUAACUUCAUCUAGCAAAAGUCACACCCCUCCUAGAGCACAAGACAAAUCAUGAUUAGUGGCUCUGGACAGUCUGAAGCAGCCCCAUAGCCCACACCUGGGAUUAAAACAAAAACAUAUUCAAAUAACAUUACUGGGUUUUUUAAAGAAAUCCAAAUUCCCACUAUGAGAAAUCAAAGCGUUUUCUCCCUAAAAUGAAGAUCUUAUCAAUGAUAUUUCCACUGACUUCCUGCUGACAAAAUGCCCAUGCUCUUCUCUUAUGCUCUGUGCUAUGGUCACUUGGCAAUGGUAAGACACCACAGCGAGUUGCCACAUUGGCUCUGAGGCCGCAGAGGGGCUUAGGUGUUAGUCAGGGCCCUCUGUGGAGAUGGGGGUGAGUAGGGAUGUCAGGCUUGAGGUUCUCACGCAGUGUCUGCUUAACAUUCACGAUGACAGGAUCACUCCAAACCCCACCUCAGGAAGCCACCACGCCUGUCACUGCUUCAGCUCCACAGAAGGCAGCUUAUGAGGGCUCGUGGGAACAAGGCUGAGAAAGGGAGGCUCUCUGUCCUUAUCUUUAGGGACUUUGGUCUUUGACUUCCUCUGUGUGAGUUUUAAUUCCAGUCAGCAGAUGCAACAGAGCAGAUCCCUGAAACUGGCUUAGCACCUCACGUCUCUGAACACCCCUCUCCUGUUCCCACCCCUCCAGCAUCUGGGCUGUGGGCCAGGGGCCUCCUCUCACUGGUAGCUGCCUCUCCUGUCUCCAUUAAAGAUGAAAAGGGUAUGGCGCUUUAGCAAUACAUGCUGCUGCCCAGAAAGAACAGGUACGUAAUACACGGUGAUGACUAACAGGGUUCAUCUCCGUGACUCCCUUCCCCACCUCUUGGGGAACUGUGCUGUGCUUCAUAGCGAAGGCACACACUUCCAUUCGGAGUCCAUGCUUUUCAUGUAAGCCUCCUGGAAAGCUCCCUGAGAGCCAGGCAGCUCCCAGGAAGUUCUGGGACUUCCAAGGUUAUUGAUUCAACUCGGACAUAACAUUCCUUAUGUCCUGUCAUUACUGAUUCCCCUUUACCAUGUCCUCAGAGUACUCAUAAAUGCUCACCGCUUCCAGACAGCACAAAAUACCAUCUCUUAUUUUAAAAGAAUCUGAAUUAUCUACUCAGCUGAUUGUAAAGUCAUUGAGAGUCCUAAAUGCCCCAGAAAUUAAUUGUCUUUAGUUUGUAGACUCUGCUAAUCAUUGCAUCUCUAAGUUGGAUCUAUUUUCUAGUGAUUACAUCAUGCACUUUUAACCAGAAAGGAAAAAACAAAAACAAAAAAAACAACAACAACAAAAAACAAGAACAAACACAUCGUUGGAGGACUAGUUGGACAUGAGUGGAAGGGAGGCAGAAGCUUGAAGUGUGAGCUUGCAUCCCUGGAGAGAGGUCCUCUCCCCACCGUCUGCAACAUACAGAUGGAGCGACUCAAAGGCUGAGCACAGCUCCUAGGUUUUCAGUGGCAUGUCAACUACUGCAUCCUGGUGCUAGAAUUCAGGAACUACCAUACCUGUAGCUGGGACCUGAUGCCCCAUCUUGGGCAUGUACACUGAAAGAUUCCAUACUCAGAAUCAAGUUGUGGGACAGUCCUGACCUGAACUGAUGGGUGGAAACACAGCCUCUUCCAAGUCUCUUUAGAAAGAGAGAGAGAGAGGGAGAGAGAGAGAGAGAGAGAGAGAGAGAGAGAGAGAGAGCCGAGAGAGGCUGAGAGAGGCUGAGAGGGUGCCCUGAGGUCGGUCAGGUGGAUGGUGGGCUUUCUUCCUUGUGGCACAACUGGUUUUAAGAUUUUUUAACUCGUAGGAAAACAGCUCACAGAGCUGAUGUUUUGAAGAGUCUCUCUCUUUGGUGUGUGCUUUCUGGUGGAUGCAAAGGCUAGAGUGCCAGCUGACGGUUUUUACUUCAUUCCUCAUUCAUUGUGUGCUUUUCUUUUUGGCCUUUCAGCCCACCACACUAAUGGAUCUGCUGUUAAUAAGGUCAGCAGUGACCUCCUGGUUGCCAAGUUCUUUGGCUCUCCUUCAGAGCUUUCGUAAAACACUCCACUGAGAUCACCCACUGUUUGCUUUGCCCCUGCCCUCUCCUGUGACACGCUGUACCAUGUUCUUUGGAUUCUUUUUGAUCUUCUUCUCUGCCCCACAGCUGUCUAAUGUAUGUCAAGUUUCCUUAGUUUGGCCUCUGGCCCUUCUCCAUCAGCAUCCUCUUUGGAUGAUCUUACCCCAUCAAGGUCUUAACCCUCACCAAUAUUCGACACUUAUCAGAUAGGAGCUGCUACUGACCUUCACCAGAUUGGAGAUCCUUAAACUAGAGAUGUCAGCUGUUGGCUCUCAACAUUCAUCUUUGCCAAUAGCUUCUGCUCGUGUGCCCUGUUGGCCUUACUGAAGCAGGAGAAUUUAGCCUGAGGAGAAUCAGUCCUCAGAAUAGGGAAGGAGGGGACGUGAGAUACAGCGAAGCAGGUAAAGGCGUCUGCUGCAAACCUUGAUAGCCUGAGCUCAAUCCCAGAACCUUGAAGAGACUGACUCUUGAAAACUGUCCUCUGACAGGUGCCAUGAUACAUGUAUGUACACACACACACACAUUAAAUAUAUAAGUAUAGCAAAUAGUAAGGCUAUUCAAAUUUUCUGUUUUAAGAGCUUGACUUUAGACUGUCCUUAGAGAUGUAGGCAGUUGUCUCAGAUGCUGAUAGACACAUGAAAUAGAAACUUAUUUUCCAUUAAAACCAAAAGCAGAUUUAAAAAUUA